RNAcentral lists this long non-coding RNA (1165 nucleotides) under Oncorhynchus kisutch (coho salmon). RNAcentral describes it as "lncRNA (ENSOKIG00005014252.1)". The record is from RNAcentral. Lineage: Eukaryota; Metazoa; Chordata; Actinopteri; Salmoniformes; Salmonidae.
UUCAUCAAAUGUUUAGGAUUAAGAUGACAAAUGGGGUAAAACAGAUAGAUUUACGUCCAUUGUUUAGGAUUAAAGGGUAUUUCUAGUAGGUGGAGGGAUUAUGUUUGCUACAGGUUUAUAUGAUUGCUUGGGAAAAGAGAUUAAUGAUGUCAUCAGUGGAGGAUUCAGCUCAUUACCGUGGCGACUCUGAUGUGCCUGCCUGCUCACAGAUGUGCUUCAAACGACGACGGGGGGGAAGGAAGGAACGUCACGCUCUGCGACGCUAUCUCUACAUCUCCACCCGCAUCUGCUGCUACCAACCAACAUCUCUCUAACCUCCCUCACCCCCCCCCCAUCCAUCCCACAUUUGUCAUGUGUGCCAUAUAGCCUUGACGUAGUUGGAAGGAACAAAGCAUGAGACAAAAGUUCCUUGCGGAUCCAAAAAUGUACUCCCCCCCACUUGUAUCCUCACUGCACGCACAAGUAUGCACACAGAGACACGCAUACACACACGCAUACGCACAUACCCCACACAUACAAACACUAACUUUCCCCCUUGCCCACAUGCAUUAUUUAUGAGCAUCAAUUCCCCUUACCUUUGAUCCCUAACCUGUGUUUUUAACAGUUCAUCCACUCUAUCCCAUAAUAGGUGACUUAUUGUGUCCCAGGCUGUGGACACAGGUGACAUGGACCGAUGGACUGAGCUGUCGAUAGAUGUCGGUUGUGUCCCAAUCAGGCACCCUGUUCUCGUGACUUUCGACCAGGGCCCAUAUAGGGAAGAGGGUGCCAUUUGGGGACACCGCCAUUGUGUUGUCAGAACCAGAAGGCCUUGUCAUCCCGGUCACUCAUCUGCUUUGACCGGGACUGAGUGACCGAGUACCAAUGACGAGCUCUAUCUGUUUGAGCAGCUCUGAUGAACCAAGAGGAUAUGAAACAGGCUUUUAGCUGCUCUCCGGAUAAUUGGAGACUAUUGCAUCUGUAAUGUUAUGCCAAUGUGAAGGGUCUUAAAGUAUGUCGAAACAAAGUUAGCACCAUUUUGUACAAGUCACAUGUUCUGUCUCAUCAUAAACACACAUGUGUUUGAACUGCACUAAAGGCUGUGAAUUUAGUCCCAGAGUUUCUUCCUUGUCGGAUCACGGUCUACGAAAAAACUCUUGACCCUACUUUAUUUAAUGUAUACACAAUA